GGUAAGGUGGCUCAGUGGUAGAGUACUUGCCUUGCAUGCAUGAGGCCCUGGGUUUGAUUCCUCAGCACCA
Molecule: transfer RNA, 70 nt
Filed under: Dipodomys ordii (Ord's kangaroo rat)
Lineage: Eukaryota; Metazoa; Chordata; Mammalia; Rodentia; Heteromyidae
Rfam family: tRNA
About the family: Transfer RNA (tRNA) molecules are approximately 80 nucleotides in length. Their secondary structure includes four short double-helical elements and three loops (D, anti-codon, and T loops).
Source: Rfam by way of RNAcentral